AUACGAAGGGGGCUAGCGUUGUUCGGAAUCACUGGGCGUAAAGCGCACGUAGGUGGAUCAAUCAGUUGAGGGUGAAAUCCCGGGGCUCAACCUCGGAACUGCCUUCAAUACUGUUGGUCUUGAGUCGGAGAGAGGUGAGUGGAAUUCCUAGUGUAGAGGUGAAAUUCGUAGAUAUUAGGAAGAACACCAGUGGCGAAGGCGGCUCACUGGCUCGGUACUGACGCUGAGGUGCGAAAGCGUGGGUAGCAAACAGGAUUAGAAACCCCAGUAGUCC
This 274-nucleotide ribosomal RNA is filed under the name uncultured bacterium. Its description in RNAcentral is "partial 16S ribosomal RNA". It matches the Rfam family "Bacterial small subunit ribosomal RNA", at positions 523 to 796 of the family's 1533-position model. The record is from RNAcentral.